This is a non-coding RNA of Pelobates cultripes (western spadefoot toad), 269 nucleotides long. The record is from the annotation of a GenBank genome assembly. Lineage: Eukaryota; Metazoa; Chordata; Amphibia; Anura; Pelobatidae.
CAUAUUACCGUUUGUUUUGUGUGUUCAAAAACUAGACUAUAUUUUUAGGGAUAAAAAACUUUAUUACUGAAACUAUUGGAAUAUAAACCUGUGUUCCCCUGUCCCCAGUUAUAUUCAGGUACGCCCCUUUCCCCAAUAAAAUUAAGAAAAUUACUUGUGUUUUUUCAGCCCCUCAGCACUGCUUACCUCUCUGCCUCUUGCAUUUUUCCUCAGAGGAGCAUUAACGGACUCUAGGCACCCAGACCACUUUAGCUUAAUGAAGUGAUCUG